RNAcentral lists this long non-coding RNA (270 nucleotides) under Elaeis guineensis (African oil palm). Its description in RNAcentral is "long non-coding RNA (EGUI_LNC077078)". The record is from RNAcentral. Lineage: Eukaryota; Viridiplantae; Streptophyta; Magnoliopsida; Arecales; Arecaceae.
UGUUGAGCUGACCUCAUCUGAUGAGCUCCUCGAUCUCAUUUCGGAGCUGAAUACACUCCUCCAUGUCGUGGCCGUGGUCAUGAUGAUAGAGGCAGAACUUGUUAGGGUUGCACUUCCCAAGGUGUGUGCGUAUCCUUUCCGGCCUUGGCAGUUGCUCCCUAAUCUCCAUCAGCACUUGAGUUUUUGGAGUAUUGAGAGGGGCGUAGCUGUGGAAUCUUCCUGGAGGAGAGCUCUGUCGAACUUUGUGAUCUGAACUUCUCUGUCUAUGAG